This 253-nucleotide ribosomal RNA is filed under the name uncultured bacterium. Its description in RNAcentral is "partial 16S ribosomal RNA". It matches the Rfam family "Bacterial small subunit ribosomal RNA", at positions 524 to 776 of the family's 1533-position model. The record is from RNAcentral.
UACGGGGGGGGCAAGCGUUGUUCGGAAUUACUGGGCGUAAAGGGCUCGUAGGUGGCCAACUAAGUCAGACGUGAAAUCCCUCGGCUUAACCGGGGAACUGCGUCUGAUACUGGAUGGCUUGAGUUCGGGAGAGGGAUGCGGAAUUCCAGGUGUAGCGGUGAAAUGCGUAGAUAUCUGGAGGAACACCGGUGGCGAAGGCGGCGUUCUGGACUGCAACUGACACUGAGAGACGAAAGCCAGGGGAGCAAACGGG